Molecule: ribosomal RNA, 460 nt
Filed under: uncultured bacterium
Lineage: Bacteria
Description: partial 16S ribosomal RNA
Rfam family: Bacterial small subunit ribosomal RNA
Source: RNAcentral
CCUACGGGUGACAGCAGUGAGGAAUAUUGGUCAAUGGACGAGAGUCUGAACCAGCCAAGUAGCGUGAAGGAUGACUGCCCUAUGGGUUGUAAACUUCUUUUAUAUUGGAAUAAAAUGUUCCACGUGUGGGAUUUUGUAUGUACCAUAUGAAUAAGGAUCGGCUAACUCCGUGCCAGCAGCCGCGUUAAUACGGAGGAUCGGCGCGUUCUCCUGAUUUAUUGGGUUUAAAGGGAGCGUAGGUGGAUUGUUAAGUCAGUUGUGAAAGUUUGCGGCUCAACCGUAAAAUUGCAGUUGAAACUGGCAGUCUUGAGUACAGUAGAGGUGGGCGGAAUUCGUGGUGUAGCGGUGAAAUGCUUAGAUAUCACGAAGAACUCCGAUUGCGAAGGCAGUUCACUGGACUGCAACUGACACUGAGGCUCGAAAGUGUGGGUAUCAAACAGGAUUAGAUACCCGAGUAGUC